AUCGCUUCUCGGCCUUUUGGCUAAGAUCAAGUGUAGUAUCAAUAUCAUAAUCACGAUGAAAUCAAAAUCAAAGGAACAUCU
This is a small nuclear RNA of 81 nucleotides. Its record names the gene U2. It matches the Rfam family "U2 spliceosomal RNA". From Rfam's summary of the family: U2 is a small nuclear RNA (snRNA) component of the spliceosome (involved in pre-mRNA splicing). The record is from Ensembl.